GGAUGCGAUCAUACCAGCACUAAAGCACCGCGGAUCCCAUCAGAACUCCGAAGUUAAGCGUGCUUGGGCGAGAGUAGUACUAGGAUGGGUGACCUCCUGGGAAGUCCUCGUGUUGCAUC
Molecule: ribosomal RNA, 119 nt
Filed under: Helictochloa cintrana
Lineage: Eukaryota; Viridiplantae; Streptophyta; Magnoliopsida; Poales; Poaceae
Source: RNAcentral